CUCUGGCAUCCACAUUGAUAAAUGACUGAAGAGAGCAAAGAUGGAGUCUCACUUUGUCACCAAGCUGGAGUGUGGUGGCAUGAUCUUGGCUCACUGCAACCUCCCAGGUUCAAGCUAUUCUCCUGCCUCAGCCUCCCGAGUAGCUGGGACUACAGGCGCACGCCACCACACCCAGCUAAUUUUUGUAUUUUUAGUAGAGACAGGGUUUCACCAUGUUCGCCAGGGUGGUCUCUAUUUCUUGACCUCGUGAUUUGCCCACCUUGGCCUUCCAAAGUGCUGGGAUUACAGGCAUGAGUCACUGUGCCCGGCCUAAUUUUGAUUUUUUAA
RNAcentral lists this long non-coding RNA (327 nucleotides) under Homo sapiens (human). RNAcentral describes it as "HSALNT0346840". The record is from RNAcentral. Lineage: Eukaryota; Metazoa; Chordata; Mammalia; Primates; Hominidae.